GUUGAUGAUACAAAAUAAACGUAGGAGUACACUCAAAUAGAAAAAGCCGGUGCAAUACUCUGAAACUAAUCGCUCCUCGCUUGCAUUCACUGGUUUAUUGGAGCAAUUGUAAAGUCUUGAAACUCUAUUAUCUCCCCUGAAUAGAGUUUGCAGUGCCUUGUCAUGCAAAUAGCUUGCUUGCAAGGAACGUUUGGAAUUUUUAUGAACAUUAUUUUUAGUUUUUAAUUCUUUUAGGAAAUAGACUUGCCUAGAUUUAAUCUUUACGCCCCAAAUAUUAUUUACAUCGGAGUUGCAUCAUAAAUUGUACUCGGAUUCAAACGACACAAUGUCAAUGACUUUAUAAAAAUAAAAGCAUAUUGUGUAUUGGCCUAUUGGGUUCACACUUUUACAGGUUCAUUUCACUUUAACUCUCUCAAGUCUCAACAGACAAUAGACAAUCGGACAUGCCAAAUCCAUUGAUAUGACAACUUCAAAAAACUUUUUCCUGGCAUACUUUGUUUUCUGCUCUCUAGACUCCCCCUCGCGGCUCUAUAGUGCUCCACCUCUAGAAUAUAGACCUUACUGGGGUUUGCUGACACUUUGUGUUGCUUCAGUCACCUGCUCACGGCUCACCCCACUAAAAUUUCUGGCACCACCCCCAGUAAAAAAUAUGAAAAUCCAUCUAUGUGCUGCUGUAUUUCUUGCUUUUGUGUGGAAAAAAUGCAAUAACUAUAAUUAAAACUUGAAAAGUGUU
This is a non-coding RNA of Paramuricea clavata, 733 nucleotides long. The record is from the annotation of a GenBank genome assembly. Lineage: Eukaryota; Metazoa; Cnidaria; Anthozoa; Malacalcyonacea; Plexauridae.